This 333-nucleotide small nuclear RNA is filed under the name Castor canadensis (American beaver). RNAcentral's name for it is "7SK RNA (ENSCCNG00000022276.1)". It matches the Rfam family "7SK RNA". Rfam says of the family: 7SK was discovered as an abundant small nuclear RNA in the mid-70s but a possible function has only recently been suggested. Two independent studies have found that 7SK RNA binds the CDK9/cyclin T complex (known as elongation factor P-TEFb). P-TEFb activates transcription by phosphorylating the C-terminal domain of RNA polymerase II. The record is from Rfam by way of RNAcentral. Lineage: Eukaryota; Metazoa; Chordata; Mammalia; Rodentia; Castoridae.
AGAUGUGAGGGCAAUCUGGCUGCAACAUCUGUCACCCCAUUAAUCAUCAGGGUUGAUUUGGCUGAUCUGCCUGGCUAAGCGGGUGUCCCAUUCCUCCCUCACUGCUCCAUGUGCGUCCCUCCUGAAGCUCUAUGUUCAGUUGAAGAGGAUGACCAUCCCUGAUAGAGGAGGAUUGUUCAUUGGUCAAGGGUAUACCAGUAGCUGCGCUCCCCUGCUAGAACCUCUAAACAAGUUCUCAAGGUCCAUUUCCCUAAUACCUUAAAGAAGGCAGGCAAAGACCACAGGUUGACUGAGAAUAGGAGGGCAGAUGGAGGAAGAACCUAAGCUUUCUUU